This 337-nucleotide signal recognition particle RNA is filed under the name Pongo abelii (Sumatran orangutan). RNAcentral describes it as "Metazoan signal recognition particle RNA (ENSPPYG00000037935.1)". It matches the Rfam family "Metazoan signal recognition particle RNA". Rfam says of the family: The signal recognition particle (SRP) is a universally conserved ribonucleoprotein. It is involved in the co-translational targeting of proteins to membranes. The eukaryotic SRP consists of a 300-nucleotide 7S RNA and six proteins: SRPs 72, 68, 54, 19, 14, and 9. The record is from RNAcentral. Lineage: Eukaryota; Metazoa; Chordata; Mammalia; Primates; Hominidae.
GCAGGGCGUGGUGGCGCGUGCCUGUAGUCCCAGCUACUCAGGAGGCUGAGGCAGGAGAAUUGCUUGAACCCGGGAGGCGGAGGUUGCAGUGAGCCGAGAUCGCACCAAUGCACUUCAGCCUGGGCGACUGAGCGAGACUCUGUCUUAAAAAAAAAAAAAAAAGAUAUUAUGCUGAAAAUGAAUGCCCAGAGCUGAGUUUUAUUUCUGUCCUUUAGUGUUUGUUACCUUUUUUUUUUUUUAACGGAGUCUCGUUCUGUCGCCAGGCUGAAGUGCAGCGGCGAAAUCUCGGCUCACUGCAACCUCCGCCUCCCGGGUUCAAGCGAUUCUCCUGCCUCAG